CGCUGGCGGCAGGCUAACACAUGCAAGUCGAGCGAUCGCAGCAAUGCGGGAGCGGCAGACGGGUGAGUAGCGCGUGGGAACGUACCCUCCGGUUCGGAAUAACUCAGGGAAACUUGAGCUAAUACCGGAUACGGCUUAGCGGCGAAAGAUUUAUCGCCGGAGGAUCGGCCCGCGUUCGAUUAGCUAGUUGGUGAGGUAACGGCUCACCAAGGCGACGAUCGAUAGCUGGUCUGAGAGGAUGAUCAGCCACAUUGGGACUGAGACACGGCCCAAACUCCUACGGGAGGCAGCAGUGGGGAAUAUUGGGCAAUGGGCGCAAGCCUGAUCCAGCCCAUGCCGCGUGAGUGAUGACGGCCUUAGGGUUGUAAAGCUCUUUCGCUAGGGACGAUAAUGACGGUACCUAGAUGAGAAGCCCCGGCUAACUUCGUGCCAGCCGCUGC
Molecule: ribosomal RNA, 440 nt
Filed under: uncultured bacterium
Lineage: Bacteria
Description: bacterial SSU rRNA
Rfam family: Bacterial small subunit ribosomal RNA
Source: RNAcentral